Molecule: non-coding RNA, 71 nt
Organism: Phrynosoma platyrhinos (Desert horned lizard)
Lineage: Eukaryota; Metazoa; Chordata; Lepidosauria; Squamata; Phrynosomatidae
Source: the annotation of a GenBank genome assembly
UCCAGUGUGGUACAGUGUUUGAGUGUUAGACUAUGACUCUAGAGACCAGGGUUCAAAUCCCUGCAAAGCUA